RNAcentral lists this ribosomal RNA (378 nucleotides) under uncultured eukaryote. RNAcentral's name for it is "partial 18S ribosomal RNA". It matches the Rfam family "Eukaryotic small subunit ribosomal RNA", at positions 592 to 976 of the family's 1831-position model. The record is from RNAcentral.
CAAUAGCGUAUAUUUAAGUUGUUGCAGUUAAAAAGCUCGUAGUUGGAUUUCGGGUGUGAACGACCGGUCCGUCUUUGGUGUGUACUGGUUGGUCGCGCCUUAUUGUCGAGGACGUGGUUCUAGCUUUCAUUAGCCGGGACACGGAGUCGGCAGCGUUACUUUGAGAAAAUUAGAGUGUUCAAAGCAGGCUAUCGCUCUGAAUACUACAGCAUGGAAUAACACGAUAGGACUCCGAGCCUAUUCUGUUGGUCUUCGGGACCGGAGUAAUGAUCAAGAGGGACAGUUGGGGGCAUUCGUAUUCCGAUGUCAGAGGUGAAAUUCUUGGAUUAUCGGAAGACGAGCAUCUGCGAAAGCAUUUGCCAAGGAUGUUUUCAUUAA